This is a long non-coding RNA of Gasterosteus aculeatus aculeatus (three-spined stickleback), 1131 nucleotides long. NCBI's taxonomy places the organism in Eukaryota, Metazoa, Chordata, Actinopteri, Perciformes, Gasterosteidae. The record is from Ensembl.
CGGGUAGUAAAAGCAACGGCGGGAACGAGACUCGUCAAGUUUCGCGUCAAUACGGCGACCUUCCGUCCCCUCGCCCCGCUGUUCCACUAGUGCGGCAAACACGGCCAGGCCUGUCCUGUUAUCUCCAAACGACUGUUUGGAGAGGCAUCUCUAUCAGAACGGUGGGAGAACGUCUAAUGCAUAUCAAUUGGAGGACUUAGAUUUGUAUUUGUUCUGCAUUUGCUCUGUCCUGCUAUGGUACACAGAAAUGACAGCAGGGUCCACUGUAUAAACUCUCAAAGCACUUGAUUCUUGUUGGACUUCAAUCUGUAAAUGUUAAACAUAUGAGUCAUUUCUCACUUUGUCACCUUUAAUGCUUUUUUUUGUUUUGUGUGGGAGGGAUGGGGGGGGUUACUGAAACAAAUCAAAGGCCCUCUUUUAUCUGACAUUUUUUAAAUGCAAAACACCUUAUAGACCUCCUGUAAUCUCAGUAAAUUGUCUUAUUAACUAAUGUUCACUAGCAUUUACCUUCUCUGGCAUCUAGUAGACAAAAAGCAUCCCAUUGGUGUCUUUCUAUGAUUCACUGCUGUUUUCCCCCCUUGUUGGAUUCCAGUUAAUAUCUCUUAUUUCCUAUAUUUGACAAGUGUACUCAAGUUACAUAUUCAAUUUGUCUGUCUGCUAUUUCAUAUAAGUAGCGGCUGGCUCAUGGAAAUUUGCUGCGUGAAAGCAACUCCCCAGGCUUUUUUUUUUUUUUUAGGUUUGUCACGGUGAGAGCACUUUGAACUAACUGCUAAACUGACUCUUUUUUUUUUUACCAGGAAAAAUAUUUUCUGUGAGGCUCUUGCUUGUUUGUCUGGUCUCUCUGGUGCAGGUUUUGUGCAGGUGCUGAUUUGUAGCAAAACACAGCCGAAGGCCGUCUGGGCAGCUUCUGAAACGUGGCGCAGAGCGUCCGGUGGAAUCCCAGGCAUUGUUUGGUGCAGUUUGGAGAGGUCGGUGGGGAAAAUGGGCGUACUCUGUGAAUGGUGUACGGCUGAACACGUUUUUAAUACUGGUAAAAACAAAAACUGCACCAGGGCCAGCUGAAUUUAGAGCUAAAAUGAAUAUUCAAUUAGUCAACAUUUAAUCUGCAACUAUUUCAACAGUGGACUAAAU